RNAcentral lists this ribosomal RNA (501 nucleotides) under uncultured bacterium. RNAcentral's name for it is "partial 16S ribosomal RNA". It matches the Rfam family "Bacterial small subunit ribosomal RNA", at positions 29 to 523 of the family's 1533-position model. The record is from RNAcentral.
AUUGAACGCUGGCGGCAUGCCUUACACAUGCAAGUCGAACGGCAGCACGGGUGCUUGCACCUGGUGGCGAGUGGCGAACGGGUGAGUAAUACAUCGGAACGUACCUUAUCGUGGGGGAUAACGCAGCGAAAGCUGUGCUAAUACCGCAUACGCCCUGAGGGGGAAAGCGGGGGAUCGCAAGACCUCGCGCGCUUAGAGCGGCCGAUGCCUGAUUAGCUAGUGUGUGGGGUAAAAGCCCACCAAGGCGACGAUCAGUAGCUGGUCUGAGAGGACGAUCAGCCACACUGGGACUGAGACACGGCCCAGACUCCUACGGGAGGCAGCAGUGGGGAAUUUUGGACAAUGGGGGCAACCCUGAUCCAGCAAUGCCGCGUGAGUGAAGAAGGCCUUCGGGUUGUAAAGCUCUUUUGUCAGGGAAGAAACACCGGCUCUAACACAGUCCGGGAAUGACGGUACCUGAAGAAUAAGCACCGGCUAACUACGUGCCAGCCGCCGCCGUAA